AUGGUGUUUUUUAAUGGGAACCAGAAGUUGAACAAUUACAUAGUCCAGCACAAAAAAACCUGUAUGCUGUCAGGAGUUGGAAGCUUACAAAGUAAUGAGAGUAGCACUGGAUACAAGAAGGAAAACAGUUCCAGGUUCCAGAGCCAGGCUAAUACAACCUCUCCCUGCAAGCCUGUCUGUGCUCCCUCCUCAGUUCCAUCUUACCAAGGCCAAAGCCGCCUCUGUCCUCAACACCCCAGCCCCCUUGGAAGCCCUUACAGUCCCCACCACAGCCCCAGUAGGCACAUUGAUCAUAACCUCCUCUACCACCAUGACAAUCAUCUCCAUCGUUACCCACCAUAUGAGAGCCUCUGGUUCCCCACCUGGGCCAUCUGGUUUAGGGGACUUACACUGGUUGCAUUCCAUUCACUCCUCCAAGGAAUCAUGCAGAAAACCAUCACCACCACCAUCGCCAUCAUCACCAUCAACACCAUCAUGAACACCAUCAACACCAUCACCACCACCACCACCAUCGCCAUCAACACCAUCACCAACACCAUCAACACCAUCACCACCACCAUCACCAUCAUCACCAUCAACAUCAUUACCACCAUCACCAUCACCAACACCACCAACACCAUUAACACCACCAUCACCCUCAACACCAUCACCAUAACCAACACCAACACCAACACCAUCAUCACAAUCACCAUCACCAUCAACACAUCAAUACCAUCAACACCACCAUCAACACCAACACCACCAUCACCAUCAACACCAUACCAUCAUCACUAUCACCAUAACCAACACCAACACCAUCAUCACAAUCACCAUCAACACAUCAACACCAUCAACAUCACCAUCACCAACACCAUCACCAUCAACACCACCAUCACCAUCAACACCAUCAACAUCAUCACUAUCACCAUCAACACCUCACCAUCAACACCACUAUCACCACCAUCAACACCACCAUCGCCAACACCAUCAUCUGUUACCAGCAUCACCAUUGACACCAUCCCCAUCCCCAUCAUCAUCAUCACCAUUAAUCAUCAAAUAACCCAUCAUCAGCAUCAUCACCAUCAUCACCAUGAAGCCACACCAGGAUGCAGAGUGUGUUGA
RNAcentral lists this long non-coding RNA (1101 nucleotides) under Callithrix jacchus (white-tufted-ear marmoset). RNAcentral's name for it is "lncRNA (ENSCJAG00000064966.2)". Lineage: Eukaryota; Metazoa; Chordata; Mammalia; Primates; Cebidae. The record is from RNAcentral.